GAGGGAGAGCAGGAGAGGGAGGGAGGGAGGGGAGGGGAGGGUAAAGGGGGCUAUGAAAAGCCAUGGCAGGUACCUGUAAAUGAACCAGACGCUCCUAUUCACAGGGCCGAGCGAUGGCCAGGAAGAAGAGAGGGAGAGGGAGAGGGAGAGAUCCUCCUCGCCGCAUGCCCCCAUCGCCAUUCCUCCCCUCCCUCUCCUCUCCUCCUCCUUCUCCUGCUCCUUCUCCUUCUCGUCUU
Non-coding RNA from Xyrichtys novacula (pearly razorfish), 236 nucleotides. NCBI's taxonomy places the organism in Eukaryota, Metazoa, Chordata, Actinopteri, Labriformes, Labridae. The record is from the annotation of a GenBank genome assembly.